RNAcentral lists this long non-coding RNA (1169 nucleotides) under Eutrema salsugineum. Its description in RNAcentral is "long non-coding RNA (ESAL_LNC001887)". The record is from RNAcentral. Lineage: Eukaryota; Viridiplantae; Streptophyta; Magnoliopsida; Brassicales; Brassicaceae.
UUUUGCUAACAUAAUUAAAUAUUUUAUACAGAUCAUGUAACCAAUUAAAUAAGUUUUGGAGAUCUCCCCAACUCUAUAUUAAAUCCAUAUUAAAAGCCUUGUAAAGGCAAAGGAUGCAGUCUUGAGUUAAAAAUGAACGACAGUUACACAAAAAGUAAAAUUCCGAGCAUUACUCACAAAAUCUAUAUCGGAGGAGUAAAAAACAAAAGAAGUGAAUAAGCAGAGAUGUUCAGGUGAAGCCUUGAGAUGGCACUGGAAAUUUGCUGGUGGUUUGCAGUGAAAAGACCUCUGUCGACGGGAGUAUUAGCGGCGAUAUAAUUAAAAACCCAGAUUUACAGCUAAAAACAAAAAAUUUAUGCAAAGCUUCUUCUUUUCAGUUACCCAGAACGAAAAUCACCAGGAUGAAGUAAUUCGUCCUAUAACUUUUAUCAAACAAGCAAAUAUGAACGAAGUAAGCAGCAAGCACUGUCAAUCUGUUUAAGGCAGCUCUACCAACCGGAUUAUCAUAUUUUGAUUGUAAAACUCCACACAAAUAGUACAAAGAGCCAAAGAAGCUUUGAUGGAGGAGUAUUACAAGCUAGACUAUGACGAGUAAACUAUCGAGAAGGGCAAAGAGAAGAAGGCUUAUACAUGUUCAGCAUGGAGUCGUUAACAAAUAUAGAAUCACUGGAAACCGAUUGAGCUAUGAACAACGAAUCAUUAAUACAGAAAGAGCCCCCUAAAUCAGUAAUCUAUGAGUCCAGAUCAGCUAUAUAUGAUCGAGUAUACUCAAGCUCAAAAUCAAUCAACAAAAGCACAAAAGGAUAGAGUUAGAAGAGAUAAUGAAUCAUCACCAUGGCUGGAGAGUUAUUUGGAUUAAAAUCCCAAAUAAGAAAGACGAAGAAGAAAAACCAAGUGAUACACCGAAAUAAACCAAAGCUAAUGUGUUAAGUUUCUAGAACAAUAAUGAAAACCCAAUAGUUAGAGAAGCUUACUUGAGCUUUCAUCGCCGGAUCAUCGCCGGAUCGUCGCUGGAUCGUCGCCGGAGAGCAGAUUUGAUUCGUCGUAGAUAGCAGCCGACAAUCUCAGAGAGAAUACUUCUCAGGUUAGGUUAAAAUUCUGUGUUUUAGAAUGGCUGAGAAGCAUAAAUUAGAAGAAAAAAAAUCUUCACAAAUGAGUCUGAGUGCCAU